Long non-coding RNA from Schistocerca serialis cubense, 5968 nucleotides. RefSeq lists it as uncharacterized. The transcript has 2 exons. The record is from RefSeq and is a predicted model, not a curated record. NCBI's taxonomy places the organism in Eukaryota, Metazoa, Arthropoda, Insecta, Orthoptera, Acrididae.
GGGGAGAGCCAACCAAUGCUACGUGUGUGUGUCGCGGGAGUGGGAGACAGCUGCGUACGUCCGCUCCCGGCACAACACAAGCAUCGAGCUCUGCGACAACUUCAGGGUUGGCGACAGCCGCUUCAUCCGCAACUGCCAGCCGCCGUUCUUAGGAUGCCUUACAACAAUCAACGGAAAACAGAUAACCCGUCAGUGCAGUGAGGACAGCUGGCAAGAAUGUCACAAUUUGAAUGGAGUCCAUUACUGCUACUGUCAGGACUCACUGUGUAAUGGCAACCUCGAGGAAACAUAUGCUGAGCUGGGAUCCCUCACGGAUGAUGAUGACUAUGCUUCAAUUAUUGAAGGCAGUGGUGGUGGUGGUGGUGGUGGUGGAAACAUAGAAUACAGUUAUACCCCUGUGGAGACAACUGAAAGCAAAGAGCAGUCACUUGCUUGUGCUAUUAUCCCAUCAUUUUGGUUCUGGUUUUUCUUAAAUUUGGCAGCAGCCAUUUUCCGUUAAGUAUUUAUCCAACUCUCUUCUCCAUCAUUAUUAACCCUCACAAACCACAGUCCCACUAUUUCAACAAUGUUGCAGCAUAUUCCAUAUGCCAAUUAUUUAUAUGUAAUAUAACCCUGUAGAGUCACACCUUACAGCAACCCAGUAGGAACCCCAAUAAAUGUAGUCAGUGAAAUGGUGACAAUUGAAAAACCAGAAUCAUCUUAUUUAGUAGUUUAAAACCGCUAUAAAUGAAUUCUCAAGAAAUAUUAACUGUUGUGUGAAAAACUUUGCCCAUAAACAAAAUAUAAACAUACAUCCCUUAGCAACAUAGAACAUGAAUGGCUUCUGCAUUAUUUUUUGUUCCACUAAUUAUGUCCCCACAUGUCUGACAAGACUUUGUCUUUUUUUUCUGAAUUGCAGCCAUAGCUCUCAUUAUUUGCACAACAUUACAAUGCUGUCAUUUUCCAGGCAUUUGCCUCUUAUAGGUAUAUAAUAAAGUCAGUUAAAAUUCACUCAUCAUUGAUGUCUAUUGGCCCCUCUGAAGAAAGUUCUUGGUCAAUUGAAGAAUAGUAAAAUAUGUCUAUGAUAGCAAAUUAUCAAGUCCAAAUAUAAUGUAUAUGACCUUUCAAAGUCCCUGUAAACAAAUUUCAUGCUGUACAAAACAAAGUUGUAUACAAAAAAUUUAUUAAGUAAUGCAUACAUUAACUAUAUAAAUGUCACUGUUAUUGGUGUGGCUAUCAUAUCUCACAGAAUAGGCCACCUGUUACCAAAGAAUGUAGAGGUAAAUUUUAGUGUGAACAUGUGUCUGUGAUAUUUAUUUUUAACUUUUUAUCACUGUCUGCUAAUAACAAAUACUAAUGUUCUAGAUUAUAUGAUUUAUCCACCAGGGAUCUCAUUUAAUUUUCAUGCAAUUAAUUCUAUAAGCAAAAGACAUUUAUUUCUAAUGCAAUUACUAAUCUAUCUUUCUGUGAUCCCAGUAUGAAAAAUUUCAUACAAAAAUGAACUUGCCUCAAAUUUACAUGAUGAACUGGAGAACUAUUGUCACUAUUGUUGGUAACUUCUAGAGAACAAAGAAAACUACAAAAAGCCCCAUUAUUGACUGAUAAAAAUGGCCCAUGACAUCUAAAAUAUAUUUUUGUCUAGCUUUGUCUGAGGGCUACUUAUAUUAAAAUUACAAUGAAAUAAUACUAAUAUAUUUUCAUGGUUAAAUGGUCCCUUUGUACGUUUUUUGAUCUGUAUGAUUGGAGAUUUAUGCCUUUGCAAUAGUAAAGUAAGCAGCAACAUUCUGAAGGCCAUAUUGCAUGAGCCUGAUCUCAUAAAUUAUGUGCCUUCAUUCACUACCAUUCCAUCAUUUGUAUGGUCAGAAACAUGCUCAGUUAUAAUAAUAUGACUCUCACAUUAGCAUUUCAAAUACAAAGAACAGAUGCUCAAUUUCUUUAGAUAGUUGCAAAAUUUCAUCCAGUUCAUAGUAUAUUUCUCCAAACAUACUACAUGUAUAACAACUAUAGCAACACACUGUAGUGCUCUGAAAAUGUCUGUCUCUCAGAUAUUGUCUUCAUUACAUCAAAACUUGGCUAUAGUUGUUGUACUAAGACUUCUUUUCUACUUCAGAGAAAUUGUACUAUUUAUGUUUCAGCAUAACAUUUCAUUGUGAAAUAAAAUUUCUACGCUGUUGUUAAGAACUACAAAAUGUUGACAUAGUUUGGUAACCUAGAUCAUUCUUGGAUACGAAUCAUGUGUCUAUAUAAAAUUGGCAUAUCUGAUCAGAACAGAUGGCCCUUUACAAAUAUUGUGCUCUGUCUACAAGAAAUUUUUUUCCAACAAGAAGCUCAAGCAGUAAUUAGCUAGAAUUCUUCCAAUGUCUUUUUAGUUCUUGAAAUGAAAGGUUGCUCCAGUUGGCAAUUAUACUCUUGUGAAGCUGUUGCUCUGAGCAGGAAAAAAGUAUACUACCCUCUCAUUACCUUAAUUUCUUUCUGUCAAAUCUAUAGCUUCAGCCUAUUCUUUUUGUCAUCAUUCCAUGAAAUUUAAUUUCAGUUCAAUGCAUCAUAUUCUUCAAUUUCAUUGCUGUUCUUCCUCCAUUCCCCUAUGUUCCCUGGUGGUACCUGUCAAUCACAUACUUACCUCAGCUAUAUAUCCUGGAAGUUGUAACUUGUCAUCACAUAACAACUUAUAGUUUGCAUCAAAUGAAAUUCUUCAUUUUUAAAUGUUAAACUGUAGCCUGUUAUGUACCCAGUGUUAGUAAUCUUCCAUCAAAAGCAUAAGAGAGAUUGUAUUGUCACUUUAUAGCUGUUAUUCAAGACACACAAAAAUUAGACAUUAGUUACCAGUGGACAUGGAUUUAUAUCAGUGGGGGCAAAUUGAAAAUUUGUGCCAGGCUGAGAUUUGAAUCUGGGUCUCCUGUUUACUUGGCAAAUGUGCUGACCACUAUGCAUCCAGACACACUGGUCACCACAAUCGAGUGGACUACCCAUCAGAUCCAAAUUCUCAACUUAUACCAUGCACCAAUGAUGUAGUGCCCCUGCUCACUAGCCUCAUUACUCUUGGCAUCUUACCAGUUCCCGUAAGAGUUUGAGCUUGGUGCGCAUCUGCACUGAAGGGAUCAUUGCUGUCAUCACCAUAAUUGUAUGUGACACCAGAUGUUCAGGGUGAGCACAAAGUCUUGCGCUGAUUAUAAACAUUUAUAACAGAAUAACCGUUUGACAUAAUAAAUUACAUUUGAUGCCAUUACAUAGCUUAGUGUUACUAGUUUUUUUAAGGCCACUUAUGUUAAUAAACCUCAACAUGUGCUCCCUUGGUAGCUCGGAGAAUGUCGAGGCGGUAUCCAAGUUCCUGUCAGGUAUUUUGUAACAUGUGUUCUGUCACAGUACCCAUAGCUGCUUGUAUCCUAGCCUUCAGUUCGUCAACAUCAGCAGCUGGUGUGAUGAAGACUCUGUCCUUGGUAUAGCCCCACAAAAAAAAGCCAAGGGUCGUAAUGUCUGGAGAGCAAGGUGGCCAGGCCAGGGUGUUGGACCAUUCCUUCCAAUACACCGUUCCGGACAUUACUCCCCUCUCCAGACAUUACACCCCUCUACUUUUUUUUCUGGGGCUAUACCAAGGACAGUGUCUUCAUCACACCAGUUGCUGACAUUGACGAACUGAAGGCUAGGAUACAACCUGCUGUGGGUACUGUGACAGAACACACGUUACAAAACACCUAGCGGGAACUGGAAUACCGCCUUGACAUUCUCUGAGCUACCAAGGGAGCAUAUGUUGAGGUUUACUAACGUAAGUGGUCUUAAAAAAAAAAACUAGUAACACUAACCUAUGUAAUGGCAUCAAAUGUAAAUUAUUAUGUAAAACAGUUUUUCUGUAAUAAAUUGUUAUAAUCAGGGCAAAACUUUGUGCUCACCAUGUAUAGUUACCAUGAUGGCUGCCAAUGAUCCUUUCAGUGCAGAUGCCCACCAAGCUUGAACUCUUACAGGAAUUGGCAACAUCCCAUGAGUAAUGAGGCUAAUGAGCAGGGCCAUUACAUCAGCAGUGUGUGGUAUAUGUUGAGAAAUUGGGUCUGAUGGGAGAUGAGCUAGGGUAGUCCGUGUGGUUGUGGUGAUAACUGUGUCUGGAUGGUGUAGUGCUCAGCAGGAGACCUGGUUUGCAUCCCAGUCUGGCACAAGUUUUCAACUUGCCCCAUUGACAUAAAUCAAUUCCCUAAUGUCUUUAAUUCCUUUGUGUCUUGAUUCAUAUUGACUGCAGGAUCAAAAUGAUGUCUGUUCUUUUCAAAAUGAUGUCUGUUCUUUCAGACACGUCCAAAAGAACAGACACCAUAUAUAUUAUAGCUAUUAUGUGAUUAAAUACUAAAAAAUUUGCUCAAGUCACUAUAUAUUAGUUUUUCAAUGUGCUAAAUUUACUGAUGAAUUCCCCUAACAGAUUUAUUAAAAUUAAAUCUGUCACUGUGAUUAAUUUUCAUUUAGGGUUUUGUAUACAAAACUGUCUCAUAAGAAAUGCUCCAUCAGUUAACUAACAUAAUUUUACAUGUUGUUUUGUCUUAACUGCACUGAAAAUACAAGCAGUUAACUAAUGUAAAUUAUGUACCAUCAUCAUACCAUGAAUUUAAUCUUAGAAUCCAGCAUAACAAUUUGACAGUUGAUUCAGCAGUAUUCAGUAACACCUUAACAAUUGCAUAAAAAGUAAAAGUAUUCAAAGUGAAAGAAAGAAGAAGAUAAGCCCAGCAGUUUUCUACAGAAAAAUUACUUGAUGAAAUAUGCACAUAGGUAUAUUGGCAUUGUUGGGGUGCUUCAAAAAUGAAUGUGUAGAUUCUAUGAACACUUACAACAUUUUGGGAGAGCUUUGUGUACCCAGUACUGUAGAUGCUGAUCUCCAGUUGUAAUGCAAAAACUACAUUGCACUGGUAUGUUACUAAAAUAAAAAUGAACUAAUAUUUUAAUACACUUUUUAAGGAGGCCAAUUAAAACUAUUUGCACGUAUGGGACCUAAGAUUUGGAGUGAACAAACCCCCAUCUCUCUGAAUUAAGCUAUCUUUGUCAAUAUUUAAAUAUUAAUUGGUCACCAGGAAUUUUAAGAAAAUUAGAAAAGUCAGUUUUUUCCAUCAUUUUUAACUGUAGAACAUGUCAUUAAAAUAUAACUGUUAUGACUAGAUUUCAAAUAUUGAUGCAGAAGAUGAAUACAUUUUUCCGAUCUCCUACAGUAUUUACUUUUAAAUCUAUCAGACACCUGACGAUCAGCACUGUGAUAAUCCACCCCUAACAGGCAUGAAUGAAAUAAUUAGAACAAGAGAGAGAAUACACUACUGCUGGUUACUUCCUCUUCUUUUUUCUUUUCAAAUCCAUGAUAUAUGAAAUUACUGUCAUUCACUGAUGUCUCAAAAGAAGUAUAAAAUUUGUGUGGAAAAGAACAAAAUCAUAACUCCUUGUUAUCUGCCUAGGGAAUUAAGUUUCAUGUUUUUAAGUACAAACUGUUAAGUAUACUUUAUUGUUAUUGUAAUUUUAUGGUUACUAUUAUUACUGUCAUCAUCAUAAUCAUCAUCAUCAUUAUCAUCAUCACCACCACCACCACCACCACCACCACCACCACCACCACCACCAAUACAAUCAUUACCUUUACAAAUGGAGAUUUUGUUAUUGCAUCAGUCAUUCCACAAUGGUGUUGAAUGUUUAAUACAAUUUGUGUGAAAGUUCACAAAACCCUAGAGUAAAUGGAAUUUAGGAUUCAGAGCCUUUGGUUUGAUGUUCUUGAUCUGUAAUAUGAAAAACACAUCAUCCUGAAUAAGUUUUGAUUUAUCAUACAAAUAUCUGCAAUCCGAAUACUACUGUCGCAUGUCCUUGGGUUAUAUUUGUAUUUUGACUGCUGUGUUCAGAAUGUUUGUUUUAUGUAAGUAUACCAUCAGAUUUAAAUUGAAUACCACAACAAUAAUGAAACUGAAUGUCUAAAUGUAUACUUCAACUAUGUACCAAAAUCAAUAAAGGAAAUUCAUAAGUGUAUGAUAAAUAAAGACUA